Molecule: small nucleolar RNA, 107 nt
Filed under: Gossypium arboreum
Lineage: Eukaryota; Viridiplantae; Streptophyta; Magnoliopsida; Malvales; Malvaceae
Description: Plant small nucleolar RNA R71
Rfam family: Plant small nucleolar RNA R71
About the family: R71 is a member of the C/D box family of snoRNAs containing the C (UGAUGA) and D (CUGA) box motifs. Multiple nearly identical copies of this snoRNA have been identified in Arabidopsis, and it is thought to function as a 2'-O-ribose methylation guide for 18S ribosomal RNA.
Source: Rfam by way of RNAcentral
AACCCAUGGUGAGGGCACCUUCUCAAUAAAUCCUUAUACCUCUCCCAUGCAUCAUAUAGAGUCUCUAAAUCCAUUUGCACGAAGGAAGAGAUAUCAUUCCUCAACUU